Mustela lutreola (European mink) is the source of this 566-nucleotide long non-coding RNA. RefSeq lists it as uncharacterized. The record is from RefSeq and is a predicted model, not a curated record. NCBI's taxonomy places the organism in Eukaryota, Metazoa, Chordata, Mammalia, Carnivora, Mustelidae. The transcript has 4 exons.
GGGGAAGGAGCAGAAGGAGAAGGAGACUCCCCAGUGAGCAGAGAGCCUGACGUGGGUCUGGAUCCCAAGAUCCCAGGAUCACGACCUGAGCUGAAAGCAGACGCUUAACCGACUGAGCCAACCAGUGGAAAAUGAGCAGGGCUCAAGUUCCUCCAAAAGCCGAUUCCAAGACGAGGAUUGGAUCAAGUAGUUUAUUUCGGGUGAAGGAGAGAAGACAAGGAAAGAUUUAUUUAUUUGAGAGAGAGAGAGAGAGAGACUGCAAGCAGUGGGAGGGGCAGAAGGAGAGAGGAGAAUCCCAAGAAGACUCUAUGCUGAGUACAGAGCCUGAUGCAGGGCUCAACCCCACAACCCCAAGACCACCACCACAGCCAAAAUCAAGAGUCGGAAGCUCAGCUGACUGAGUCAUCCAAAUGUCCCUGAGGGUCUAUGUUUUGAGAGGUAACUUGACAGUGAUUCCAAUUGUUCAAAACUCUUCCAGUUUCUAGAUAGCCCUUGGCAAACAUACUUUCCAUUCCUUGGGUGUUUGUGUUUGUUUGUUACCUCAGGAUACUGUAAUAAAUACCACA